This 420-nucleotide ribosomal RNA is filed under the name uncultured Methanoculleus sp. Its description in RNAcentral is "bacterial SSU rRNA". It matches the Rfam family "Archaeal small subunit ribosomal RNA", at positions 322 to 746 of the family's 1478-position model. Lineage: Archaea; Methanobacteriati; Methanobacteriota; Methanomicrobia; Methanomicrobiales; Methanomicrobiaceae. The record is from RNAcentral.
CCUACGGGUGGCUGCAGGCGCGAAAACUUUACAAUGCGGGCAACCGUGAUAAGGGAACCUCGAGUGCCUGUACAUGCAGGCUGUCUGGGUGUCUAAAACACACCCAAAGAAAGGGCCGGGCAAGACCGGUGCCAGCCGCCGCGGUAAUACCGGCGGCUCGAGUGGUGGCCACUUUUAUUGGGCUUAAAGCGUUCGUAGCUGGGUUGUUAAGUCUCUUGGGAAAUCCGGCGGCUGAACCGUCGGGCGUCUAAGAGAUACUGGCAAUCUUGGAACCGGGAGAGGUGAGGGGUACUUCGGGGGUAGGAGUGAAAUCCUGUAAUCCUCGAGGGACCACCUGUGGCGAAGGCGCCUCACCAGAACGGCUUCGACAGUGAGGGACGAAAGCGUGGGGAGCAAACAGGAUUAGAUACCCGGGUAGUC